This 55-nucleotide ribosomal RNA is filed under the name Varanus bitatawa. Its description in RNAcentral is "partial 16S ribosomal RNA". The record is from RNAcentral. Lineage: Eukaryota; Metazoa; Chordata; Lepidosauria; Squamata; Varanidae.
AUCACCUGUUGAAACAAUGUUAAAUUCACAGUACCCCACUAUCCGAAAUCAGGAC